This 410-nucleotide ribosomal RNA is filed under the name bacterium. RNAcentral's name for it is "bacterial SSU rRNA". It matches the Rfam family "Bacterial small subunit ribosomal RNA", at positions 130 to 523 of the family's 1533-position model. The record is from RNAcentral.
CCAUAAGACUGGGAUAACUCCGGGAAACCGGGGCUAAUACCGGAUAACAUUUUGAACCGCAUGGUUCGAAAUUGAAAGGCGGCUUCGGCUGUCACUUAUGGAUGGACCCGCGUCGCAUUAGCUAGUUGGUGAGGUAACGGCUCACCAAGGCAACGAUGCGUAGCCGACCUGAGAGGGUGAUCGGCCACACUGGGACUGAGACACGGCCCAGACUCCUACGGGAGGCAGCAGUAGGGAAUCUUCCGCAAUGGACGAAAGUCUGACGGAGCAACGCCGCGUGAGUGAUGAAGGCUUUCGGGUCGUAAAACUCUGUUGUUAGGGAAGAACAAGUGCUAGUUGAAUAAGCUGGCACCUUGACGGUACCUAACCAGAAAGCCACGGCUAACUACGUGCCAGCACCCCCGCGGGGU